GCCGUUUUUGCACAACUGUAUGAAUUCGUCGGUCGUUAAAGUUGCGUCGGUUGUGGUUUUAUUCAUAACUUCGCGUUUUACGAUAAAAUAAUCGCCGCUUGUACUUAGUUUUCCGUUAAACUAAAGUUGUGUACUGUGAUUUAUCAGUUUUAUAUAUUUACUACCUCUGAUUAGAUAUUAUUGUUACGAUUUAACGAAACGAACAUUAUGCACAGCCAUUUUGAACUUUACCUUCACCAAUUUUGAAGAUGUAAUAUUAUUUUACCUCGGGCUAAACGAGUUCAAUGACUUGUACUGGAAUGGUCACAACACGCAUCGAAAAUAAGUACCUACUUGCCGUAUUCUUGCAACCCGAGAGCGCUACAUUGCUAGUGCAGUAUCUUCUAUAGUGCAAUCGUCAGACGGAUGGUGUUGUUGUUGCUAUUCUACGCCGCUCGCAGUGUUUACAUUACGCGCAUUCCAGUCUUAUCGCCGGUCGACUGGCGUGCGGUUCAUUCUCUUGAUUCCGUGAAUCGCGCAUGUUAUAUUCGGUGUUCAGUGCAAAGAUUUAUUGUUUCGUGGGUGUUUUGUGUUCACCAAUUUAUGCAAAUUAUAUUCGUCAUCCGCAGAAGAUAGAACCGCUUGAAUAAUUUUACUAAUCGGAGUAUUAUCACAGGUAAUCAACAUUUUAAUAUAUUAUUACCGCUGGAUUCGUAUUUAGUAGUACAUUCGCCGGCACGUGACUAAGGAAUACUUGCCGACGGACCGCAGAUUGUUCCUUUCUUGAAAUUAAAUAUGUUGCAUUAUCGAAUACUGUUUAUCAUUCCUGAUUAUCACAUUCGAAUGAAUUUUCGGUCGCAGUCAAAUUUAUUCACCUACAAGCUGUAUAUUUUUAUUUUGAAUAAUAUUUAAUUGAAUACAGUGCAAUAUAAUGACGAAUAUUAAGCGCGGAAAGUAAAUUGGUUUGGUAUUUAUUCAAAUUAUUCCUAAAAUCAAAUAUUAUUGUAGAUUUAAAACUAGUGACCGUCUGAGACCUUACACAACACGCAUUUUAUCUAAAACUCUCCGAAUAGAACGUAGAUUGCGCUAGGAUGCACAAAAUUGAAUAAUAUUAAGCAGGUGCAUGUGUCUGUUUGUGGCACUCGUGUACGUGUGAGCUCGCGCUGCAUGCUGCAUGCAUACUAUUUGCACGUUCUUUUCUGCUAGCGCUUUUAGUUCCCAUUUGUCCUUAUGAAUUAUUUCAUCUCUUAGAUUUCCAAUUUAACCAGCUUAGCUAAUAGAGAAUGGGAGUCACUUCUACCACUACUUUUGUACCGCUACUUUCGUGGAUUAUAAAACUAUUUUAUAGCUUUUUAUAUAACUUAUUCUAUAAUUUUUUUAUAGAACAAGAUAAUAAAAUAUAUUAAGUUCAAAAAUAAUCGCUAAAAGUGCAAAGAGGAGAGAUUUUACGUGUUUUUCCCAGAUUUUUUGGAAAAUCUUCCAAUAAUUUUAAUAAUCUACACAAUUUACUUUCUUAUCGCUUUCGCCGCGUGGAAUGCAUUGCAAGAGAUUCACGAGUGUUGUCGUUGCAAUCUCCUCACGCCGCGUGCAGCAUAUUCUAGUUUAGUUUACAUCACUUGUAUUGUGCCUAUUGCCAUUCGCGCACAAGGUCGCGUGCCAUCGACGCACUAGAUUUGCGCAUCCCUUACUUUUUUAUUGUUAAUUGUCGCGUCGUUGUUUGCUCGGCUACGGCUUGCGCUAUCAAUUUGUUUGCAGCCAGUUUCGUACCGUUCGCUGGUAGGUUUAGACGUGUUUUGCGCGAUUCGUAUAGUUUGUUCGGACUUCUGCAUUCUAAAUUUGCAUUUUCAUUAAAUUCUCCGUCGGGUGGUAUUUAACUGUUGCAGGAAUUCGACCCGCAACCCUCGAAUAUUUGCAUAUAAGAGUAAUUUUUUAACCCUUUUUUGUGAAAUGAUUGUGUUUUUUUGGGUUUGCUCGCGACCUAGGCGACGUAGUAACUCCAGCGUGGGGUUUAGAGAUGCGGAAUUAAAUUCUUUAUUGGGUGGUAUUUACUUGUUGAAGGAAUUCCACACGCAACACUCGAAAAUUUACAUAUAAGAUUAAUUUUUUAACGCUUUUUCGUGAAAUGUUUGGGUUUUUUCGGGUUUGCUCGUGACCUAGGCGGCGUAGCAACUUCAUCGUGGCGUCUAGAGGUGCGGAAUUAAAUUCUCCGUUAGGUAGUAUUUAAUUGUUGCAGGAAUUCGUUCUGCAACGCGCGAAAAUUUGCAUAUAAGGUUAAUUUUUUAACGCAUUUUCGUGAAAUGUUUGUGUUUUUCCGGGUUUGCUCGUGACCUAGGCGGCGUAGAAACUCCAUCGUGGCGUCUAGAGGUGCGGAAUUAAAUUCACCGUUAGGUGGUAUUUAAUUGUUGCAGGAAUUCGUUCUGCAACAUGCGAAAAUUUGCAUAUAAAAUUAAUUUUUUAAAGCUUUUUCGUGAAAUGUUUGUGUUUCUUCGGGUUUGCUUGUGACCUAGGCGGCGUAGAAACUCCAUCGUGGCGUCUAGAGGUGCGGAAUUAAAUUCUCCGUUAGGUGGUAUUUAAUUGUUGCAGGAAUUCGUUCUGCAACACGCGAAAAUUUGCAUA
This is a long non-coding RNA of Dalotia coriaria, 2595 nucleotides long. RefSeq lists it as uncharacterized. Lineage: Eukaryota; Metazoa; Arthropoda; Insecta; Coleoptera; Staphylinidae. The transcript has 4 exons. The record is from RefSeq and is a predicted model, not a curated record.